This 253-nucleotide ribosomal RNA is filed under the name uncultured bacterium. RNAcentral's name for it is "partial 16S ribosomal RNA". It matches the Rfam family "Bacterial small subunit ribosomal RNA", at positions 524 to 776 of the family's 1533-position model. The record is from RNAcentral.
UACGUAGGGUGCAAGCGUUGUCCGGAAUUAUUGGGCGUAAAGAGCUCGUAGGCGGUUUGUCACGUCGGAUGUGAAACCCUGAGGCUCAACCUCAGGCCUGCAUUCGAUACGGGCAGACUAGAAUUCGGCAGGGGAGACUGGAAUUCCUGGUGUAGCGGUGAAAUGCGCAGAUAUCAGGAGGAACACCGGUGGCGAAGGCGGGUCUCUGGGCCGAUAUUGACGCUGAGGUGCGAAAGCGUGGGGAGCAAACAGG